GACGAACGCUGGCGGCGUGCUUAACACAUGCAAGUCGAACGGAAAGGCCCUGCUUUUGUGGGGUGCUCGAGUGGCGAACGGGUGAGUAACACGUGAGUAACCUGCCCUGACUUUGGGAUAACUUCAGGAAACUGGGGCUAAUACCGGAUAGGAGCUCCUGCUGCCUGGUGGGGGUUGGAAAGUUUCGGCGGUUGGGGAUGGACUCGCGGCUUAUCAGCUUGUUGGUGGGGUAGUGGCUUACAAAGGCUUUGACGGGUAGCCGGCCUGAGAGGGUGACCGGCCACAUUGGGACUGAGAUACGGCCCAGACUCCUACGGGAGGCAGCAGUGGGGAAUAUUGCACAAUGGGCGGAAGCCUGAUGCAGCAACGCCGCGUGCGGGAUGACGGCCUUCGGGUUGUAAACCGCUUUCGCCUGUGACGAAGCGUGAGUGACGGUAAUGGGUAAAGAAGCACCGGCUAACUACGUG
RNAcentral lists this ribosomal RNA (467 nucleotides) under uncultured bacterium. RNAcentral describes it as "partial 16S ribosomal RNA". It matches the Rfam family "Bacterial small subunit ribosomal RNA", at positions 28 to 507 of the family's 1533-position model. The record is from RNAcentral.